AUUAGAUGAUGAGAAAAGGUUUCCCUCAACUUGAAUUUGAAUUACCAAGAUGUCUUGGAUGCAUGGUCGGAUCGUGGGCCUCUAUUGGCCGAUGAUUGUUCCAUUUCAACGCCCACCAGCGUCAAUGGCUACUAUAUGGGAGAAGUGCCGAUGAUGGAGCUAGAAGAAAGAACAAGAAGGGAAGCGAGUGUUCUCAGAUACAAAGAGAAGCGUCAGACUAGAUUGUCUGCAAGAAGAUAAGGUAUGAAGUCCGCAAACUGAACGCAGAUAAACGACCCAGGCUCAAGGGCCGGUUUGUGAAGAGAGUUUCCUGAGAGAAGAUAACCUAAACGCUGUUUCAAAUAUCUGAUAAAAAUAUCUUUUAGUAUGUGGACUUUUUUCCAUGCAUAUGUGCCUUUUUUGUUUGUCUGAAUGCAAAUAUCUUUCAA
Molecule: long non-coding RNA, 428 nt
Organism: Hibiscus syriacus
Lineage: Eukaryota; Viridiplantae; Streptophyta; Magnoliopsida; Malvales; Malvaceae
Exons: 3
Source: RefSeq, a predicted model, not a curated record